This 201-nucleotide ribosomal RNA is filed under the name uncultured bacterium. Its description in RNAcentral is "partial 16S ribosomal RNA". It matches the Rfam family "Bacterial small subunit ribosomal RNA", at positions 1300 to 1500 of the family's 1533-position model. The record is from RNAcentral.
GCAGGCUGCAACCCGCCUGCGUGAAGUUGGAAUCGCUAGUAAUCGCGGAUCAGCAUGCCGCGGUGAAUACGUUCCCGGGCCUUGUACACACCGCCCGUCACACCAUGAGAGCCGGUAACACCCGAAGUCAAUAGUCUAACCGCAAGGAGGACAUUGCCGAAGGUGGGAUUGGUAAUUGGGGUGAAGUCGUAACAAGGUAUC